This 316-nucleotide ribosomal RNA is filed under the name Acinetobacter baumannii. Its description in RNAcentral is "partial 23S ribosomal RNA". It matches the Rfam family "Bacterial large subunit ribosomal RNA", at positions 473 to 792 of the family's 2925-position model. The record is from RNAcentral. Lineage: Bacteria; Pseudomonadati; Pseudomonadota; Gammaproteobacteria; Moraxellales; Moraxellaceae.
CUCCUGACUGACCGAUAGUGAACCAGUACCGUGAGGGAAAGGCGAAAAGAACCCCUGUGAGGGUAGUGAAAUAGAUCCUGAAACCGCAUGCAUACAAGCAGUGGGAGCACCUUCGUGGUGUGACUGCGUACCUUUUGUAUAAUGGGUCAGCGACUUAUAUUCAGUAGCGAGGUUAACCGUAUAGGGGAGCCGUAGAGAAAUCGAGUCUUAAUAGGGCGUUUAGUUGCUGGGUAUAGACCCGAAACCAGGCGAUCUAUCCAUGAGCAGGUUGAAGGUUGGGUAACACUAACUGGAGGACCGAACCCACUGUCGUUGA